RNAcentral lists this transfer RNA (51 nucleotides) under Angiopteris evecta. Its description in RNAcentral is "tRNA-Leu". Lineage: Eukaryota; Viridiplantae; Streptophyta; Polypodiopsida; Marattiales; Marattiaceae. The record is from RNAcentral.
AAAAUCCGUUGGUCUUUGAAGACCGUGAGGGUUCAAGUCCCUCUACCCCCA